RNAcentral lists this microRNA (22 nucleotides) under Platynereis dumerilii (Dumeril's clam worm). RNAcentral describes it as "Pdu-Mir-277_3p (mature (guide))". RNAcentral also lists the same sequence under 2 other names. Lineage: Eukaryota; Metazoa; Annelida; Polychaeta; Phyllodocida; Nereididae. The record is from RNAcentral.
UAAAUGCAUUAUCUGGUAUGUA